UCAGCUCUCUUUGCCUUUUGGCUAAGAUCAAGUGUAGUAUCUGUUCUUUUCAGUUUAAUCUCUGAAAGUGUUCUAAGGAACACAAUCGUGAUUAUACUUAUUUUUGGCUCUCGGACUUUGGCCGCUAUGCUUGCAUAUGUCAUCGUUCACAGUGUCCCUGGCAUUACACUGCCUCCAGGCGACGCGAACUUUU
Small nuclear RNA from Ceratocystis platani, 193 nucleotides. It matches the Rfam family "U2 spliceosomal RNA". From Rfam's summary of the family: U2 is a small nuclear RNA (snRNA) component of the spliceosome (involved in pre-mRNA splicing). The record is from Rfam. Lineage: Eukaryota; Fungi; Ascomycota; Sordariomycetes; Microascales; Ceratocystidaceae.